This 468-nucleotide ribosomal RNA is filed under the name uncultured bacterium. RNAcentral describes it as "partial 16S ribosomal RNA". It matches the Rfam family "Bacterial small subunit ribosomal RNA", at positions 28 to 507 of the family's 1533-position model. The record is from RNAcentral.
GACGAACGCUGGCGGCGUGCUUAACACAUGCAAGUCGAACGGAAAGGCCCUGCUUUUGUGGGGUGCUCGAGUGGCGAACGGGUGAGUAACACGUGAGUAACCUGCCCUUGACUUUGGGAUAACUUCAGGAAACUGGGGCUAAUACCGGAUAGGAGCUCCUGCUGCAUGGUGGGGGUUGGAAAUUUUGGGCGGUUGGGGAUGGACUCGCGGCUUAUCAGCUUGUUGGUGGGGUAGUGGCUUACCAAGGCUUUGACGGGUAGCCGGCCUGAGAGGGUGACCGGCCACAUUGGGACUGAGAGACGGCCCAGACUCCUACGGGAGGCAGCAGUGGGGAAUAUUGCACAAUGGGCGGAAGCCUGAUGCAGCAACGCCGCGUGCGGGAUGACGGCCUUCGGGUUGUAAACCGCUUUCGCCUGUGACGAAGCGUGAGUGACGGUAAUGGGUAAAGAAGCACCGGCUAACUACGUG